AUUGAACGCUGGCGGCAGGCCUAACACAUGCAAGUCGAGCGGAUGAAGGGUGCUUGCUUCUGGUUUCCGCGGCGGAAGGGUGUGUAAUGCCUAGGAAUCUGCUUGGCAGUGGGGGAUAACGUCCGGAAACGGGCGCUACUACCGCCUACGUCCUGCGGGUGAAAGUGGGGGAUCUUUGGACCUCACGCUAUCAGAUGAGCCUAGGUCGGAUUAGCUAGUUGGUGGGGUAAAGGCCUACCUAGGCGACGAUCCGUAACUGGUCUGAGAUGAUGAUCAGUCACACUGGGACUGAGACACGCUCCAGAGGCCUACGGGUGGCAGCAGUGGGGAAUAGUGGACAAUGGGCGAAAGCCUGAUCCAGCCAUGCCGCGUGUGGGAAGAAGGUCUUCGGAUGGUAAAUCACGUUAAGUUGGGUGGAAGGGCAGUAAGUUAGUACCUUGCUGUGUGGACGUUACCAACAGAAAGAGCACCGGCUAACUUCGUG
This 484-nucleotide ribosomal RNA is filed under the name uncultured bacterium. RNAcentral describes it as "partial 16S ribosomal RNA". It matches the Rfam family "Bacterial small subunit ribosomal RNA", at positions 30 to 507 of the family's 1533-position model. The record is from RNAcentral.